AUUGAACGCUGGCGGCAUGCCUUACACAUGCAAGUCGAACGGCAGCACGGGAGCAAUCCUGGUGGCGAGUGGCGAACGGGUGAGUAAUAUAUCGGAACGUGCCCAGUAGUGGGGGAUAACUGCUCGAAAGAGCAGCUAAUACCGCGUACGACCUGAGGGUGAAAGGGGGGGAUCGCAAGACCUCUCGCUAUUGGAGCGGCCGAUAUCAGAUUAGCUAGUUGGUGGGGUAAAGGCCUACCAAGGCAACGAUCUGUAGUUGGUCUGAGAGGACGACCAGCCACACUGGGACUGAGACACGGCCCAGACUCCUACGGGAGGCAGCAGUGGGGAAUUUUGGACAAUGGGCGCAAGCCUGAUCCAGCAAUGCCGCGUGCAGGAAGAAGGCC
RNAcentral lists this ribosomal RNA (386 nucleotides) under uncultured bacterium. RNAcentral describes it as "bacterial SSU rRNA". It matches the Rfam family "Bacterial small subunit ribosomal RNA", at positions 29 to 416 of the family's 1533-position model. The record is from RNAcentral.